This 1572-nucleotide ribosomal RNA is filed under the name Triticum aestivum (bread wheat). RNAcentral's name for it is "partial small subunit ribosomal RNA". The record is from RNAcentral. Lineage: Eukaryota; Viridiplantae; Streptophyta; Magnoliopsida; Poales; Poaceae.
AUGGAGAAGCAAAGGGUGGCCAUCGUCGGCGCCGGCAUGAGCGGCCUCACGGCAUGCAAGCACGUGCUUGAGCGCGGCUUCCGGCCCGUCGUGUUCGAGGCCGAGGCGGACGCCGUCGGCGGCGUGUGGGCGCACACGCUCGCCUCGACGCGCCUGCAGACCCCACGGUCACAGUACGAGUUCACGGACUUCCCGUGGCCGCCGGAGGUGCCGGAAUUGUACCCGAGCCACGACCAGGUCAUGGAGUACUUGUGCUCCUACGCGCGCCACUUCGGCGUGCUAGAGUGCGUCAGGUACGGCAGUCGGGUCACCGCUCUGGAGUACUCCGGCGCCGCCGACGAGGAGGAGAUGAUGGCGUGGGAGCAGUGGGCCGGCAACGGCGAGGCGUUCGGCAGCGGUCGGGGCGAGUGGCGGAUCACCGUGCAGCACGGAGACGACGUCGAGACACACGUGGCCGACUUCGUGGUGCUAUGCGUUGGACGGUACAGCGGCAUCCCCAACAUUCCAACUUUCCCACCGGAGAAAGGGCCAGAGGCCUUUAAUGGCACGGUGAUCCACUCCAUGGAUUACUCCAACAUGGAUGAUGCAAAAGCCACUGAGCUCAUCAAAGGCAAGCUCGUCACCGUCGUCGGCUAUCAAAAGUCUGCUCUCGACAUCGCCACAGAGUGCGCAAAUGUGAAUGGUCCGACACAUCCUUGUACAAUGAUUGUUCGGACAAAGAGAUGGAUCAUCCCUGACUUAUAUGCUUGGGGUGUCCCGGUUCCUUUCUUGUGCUUCAAUCGCUUGUCCGAACUACUAGUUCACAAGCCAGGAGAGGGGCUGCUCCUUAGCCUGCUGGCUACCUUCUUGUCACCCCUGAGAUGGAUACUCUCAAAGUUUGUGGAGAGCUACUACAUGUGGGCGGUGCCCAUGAGGAAGCAUGGCAUGGUGCCGGAACACAGCUUCUUUCAAGCUCUCAGCUCAUGGCUGAUUGCAAUAAUGCCAGACAAAUUCUACGACAAGGUGGAGCAGGGAAGCAUUAUCCUCAAGAAAGCAAACAAAUUUAGCUUCUGCACAGAAGGUGUCAUCGUACCAGGCGAGCCCGCACCGAUCAAGAGCGAUGUCGUGAUCUUUGCGACCGGGUACAAUGGGGAUCAGAAGCUCAGAGAGCUGUUUGCCUCACCUCUCUUCAGAGAGAUCGUUGUUGGCACGCCAGUUACUGCGGUCCCUCUCUACAGGCUAUGCGUCCACCCCAGGAUUCCUCAGCUAGCAAUCGUUGGCUACUCCGAGAGCAUGGGAGAUCUACACACCUCGGAGAUACGGUCCAAAUGGCUGGCGCAUUUCCUUGAUGGGGGAUUUAGUUUGCCUGCCAUAAGAUCGAUGGAGGAAAAUGUGAAGGAGUGGGACGCAUACAUGAAACGCUACUUGGGCGACUACUUCCGUCGAUCUUGCGUCGGUUCUAUCGGUAUCUGGCACAACGACCAGCUGUGCAAGGACAUGGGGUGGGAGCCUAGGAGGAAGAAGGGCUUUCUGGCUGACUGGUUGAUUCCCUAUGAACCUGCAGAUUACGCAAGUGUCAAUCCGAGGAACUAG